RNAcentral lists this transfer RNA (73 nucleotides) under Stegodyphus mimosarum. It matches the Rfam family "tRNA". Rfam says of the family: Transfer RNA (tRNA) molecules are approximately 80 nucleotides in length. Their secondary structure includes four short double-helical elements and three loops (D, anti-codon, and T loops). Further hydrogen bonds mediate the characteristic L-shaped molecular structure. tRNAs have two regions of fundamental functional importance: the anti-codon, which is responsible for specific mRNA codon recognition, and the 3' end, to which the tRNAs corresponding amino acid is attached (by aminoacyl-tRNA synthetases). tRNAs cope with the degeneracy of the genetic code in two manners: having more than one tRNA (with a specific anti-codon) for a particular amino acid; and 'wobble' base-pairing, i.e. permitting non-standard base-pairing at the 3rd anti-codon position. The record is from Rfam by way of RNAcentral. Lineage: Eukaryota; Metazoa; Arthropoda; Arachnida; Araneae; Eresidae.
GCCUUCGUGGUGUAAUGGUCAGCACGCUCGGCGCGUAUUCGAGAGGUCCGUGGUUCGAGUCCCGUCGAGGGCA